Molecule: ribosomal RNA, 393 nt
Filed under: uncultured bacterium
Lineage: Bacteria
Description: partial 16S ribosomal RNA
Rfam family: Bacterial small subunit ribosomal RNA
Source: RNAcentral
AUACGGAGGAUGCGAGCGUUAUCCGGAUUUAUUGGGUUUAAAGGGAGCGUAGGUGGAUUGUUAAGUCAGUUGUGAAAGUUUGCGGCUCAACCGUAAAAUUGCAGUUGAAACUGGGAGUCUUGAGUACAGUAGAGGUGGGCGGAAUUCGUGGUGUAGCGGUGAAAUGCUUAGAUAUCACGAAGAACUCCGAUUGCGAAGGCAGCUCACUAGACUGUUACUGACACUGAGGCUCGAAAGUGUGGGUAUCAAACAGGAUUAGAUACCCUGGUAGUCCACACAGUAAACGAUGAAUACUCGCUGUUUGCGAUAUACAGUAAGCGGCCAAGCGAAAGCAUUAAGUAUUCCACCUGGGGAGUACGCCGGCAACGGUGAAACUCAAAUGAAUUGACGGGG